Molecule: transfer RNA, 74 nt
Filed under: Xanthocytophaga agilis
Lineage: Bacteria; Pseudomonadati; Bacteroidota; Cytophagia; Cytophagales; Rhodocytophagaceae
Also listed under: 1 other name
Description: tRNA-Trp
Rfam family: tRNA
About the family: Transfer RNA (tRNA) molecules are approximately 80 nucleotides in length. Their secondary structure includes four short double-helical elements and three loops (D, anti-codon, and T loops).
Source: RNAcentral
ACAGGAGUAGUUUAAUGGUAAAAUGUCUGUCUCCAAAACUGAAGUUCGGGGUUCGAGUCCCUGCUCCUGUGCCA